This 400-nucleotide ribosomal RNA is filed under the name uncultured Ketogulonicigenium sp. RNAcentral describes it as "bacterial SSU rRNA". It matches the Rfam family "Bacterial small subunit ribosomal RNA", at positions 355 to 774 of the family's 1533-position model. The record is from RNAcentral. Lineage: Bacteria; Pseudomonadati; Pseudomonadota; Alphaproteobacteria; Rhodobacterales; Roseobacteraceae.
UGGGGAAUCUUAGACAAUGGGCGCAAGCCUGAUCUAGCCAUGCCGCGUGAGUGAAGAAGGCCUUAGGGUCGUAAAGCUCUUUCGCUGGGGAAGAUAAUGACUGUACCCAGUAAAGAAACCCGCUACUCCGUGCCAGCAGCCGCGGUAAUACGGAGGGGGUUAGCGUUGUUCGGAAUUACUGGGCGUAAAGCGCGCGUAGGCGGAUUAGAAAGUUAGGGGUGAAAUCCCAGGGCUCAACCCUGGAACUGCCUCUAAAACUCCUAGUCUUGAGGUCGAGAGAGGUGAGUGGAAUUCCGAGUGUAGAGGUGAAAUUCGUAGAUAUUCGGAGGAACACCAGUGGCGAAGGCGGCUCACUUGGCUCGAUACUGACGCUGAGGUGCGAAAGCGUGGGGAGCAAACA